This 74-nucleotide transfer RNA is filed under the name Camelus bactrianus (Bactrian camel). It matches the Rfam family "tRNA". Rfam says of the family: Transfer RNA (tRNA) molecules are approximately 80 nucleotides in length. Lineage: Eukaryota; Metazoa; Chordata; Mammalia; Artiodactyla; Camelidae. RNAcentral also lists the same sequence under 2 other names. The record is from Rfam by way of RNAcentral.
GGAGGUAUAGCUCAGUGGUAGAGCAAGUGCUUAGCGUGCACAAGGUCCUGGGGAUUUAACCCCCUGUGCCUCCA